RNAcentral lists this ribosomal RNA (1300 nucleotides) under Bacillus sp. CNE 7. Its description in RNAcentral is "partial 16S ribosomal RNA". The stretch from base 1 to 792 matches the Rfam family "Bacterial small subunit ribosomal RNA". The record is from RNAcentral. Lineage: Bacteria; Bacillati; Bacillota; Bacilli; Caryophanales; Bacillaceae.
UCAGGAUGAACGCUGGCGGCGUGCCUAAUACAUGCAAGUCGAGCGAAUGGAUUGAGAGCUUGCUCUCAAGAAGUUAGCGGCGGACGGGUGAGUAACACGUGGGUAACCUGCCCAUAAGACUGGGAUAACUCCGGGAAACCGGGGCUAAUACCGGAUAAUAUUUUGAACUGCAUGGUUCGAAAUUGAAAGGCGGCUUCGGCUGUCACUUAUGGAUGGACCCGCGUCGCAUUAGCUAGUUGGUGAGGUAACGGCUCACCAAGGCAACGAUGCGUAGCCGACCUGAGAGGGUGAUCGGCCACACUGGGACUGAGACACGGCCCAGACUCCUACGGGAGGCAGCAGUAGGGAAUCUUCCGCAAUGGACGAAAGUCUGACGGAGCAACGCCGCGUGAGUGAUGAAGGCUUUCGGGUCGUAAAACUCUGUUGUUAGGGAAGAACAAGUGCUAGUUGAAUAAGCUGGCACCUUGACGGUACCUAACCAGAAAGCCACGGCUAACUACGUGCCAGCAGCCGCGGUAAUACGUAGGUGGCAAGCGUUAUCCGGAAUUAUUGGGCGUAAAGCGCGCGCAGGUGGUUUCUUAAGUCUGAUGUGAAAGCCCACGGCUCAACCGUGGAGGGUCAUUGGAAACUGGGAGACUUGAGUGCAGAAGAGGAAAGUGGAAUUCCAUGUGUAGCGGUGAAAUGCGUAGAGAUAUGGAGGAACACCAGUGGCGAAGGCGACUUUCUGGUCUGUAACUCGCUUUACGCCCAAUAAUUCCGGAUAACGCUUGCCACCUACGUAUUACCGCGGCUGCUGGCACGUAGUUAGCCGUGGCUUUCUGGUUAGGUACCGUCAAGGUGCCAGCUUAUUCAACUAGCACUUGUUCUUCCCUAACAACAGAGUUUUACGACCCGAAAGCCUUCAUCACUCACGCGGCGUUGCUCCGUCAGACUUUCGUCCAUUGCGGAAGAUUCCCUACUGCUGCCUCCCGUAGGAGUCUGGGCCGUGUCUCAGUCCCAGUGUGGCCGAUCACCCUCUCAGGUCGGCUACGCAUCGUUGCCUUGGUGAGCCGUUACCUCACCAACUAGCUAAUGCGACGCGGGUCCAUCCAUAAGUGACAGCCGAAGCCGCCUUUCAAUUUCGAACCAUGCAGUUCAAAAUAUUAUCCGGUAUUAGCCCCGGUUUCCCGGAGUUAUCCCAGUCUUAUGGGCAGGUUACCCACGUGUUACUCACCCGUCCGCCGCUAACUUCUUGAGAGCAAGCUCUCAAUCCAUUCGCUCGACUUGCAUGUAUUAGGCACGCCGCCAGCGUUCAUCCUGA